RNAcentral lists this ribosomal RNA (92 nucleotides) under Escherichia coli 3-267-03_S4_C2. The record is from RNAcentral. Lineage: Bacteria; Pseudomonadati; Pseudomonadota; Gammaproteobacteria; Enterobacterales; Enterobacteriaceae.
UGCGGCCAUAUCUACCAGAAAGCACCGUUUCCCGUCCGAUCAACUGUAGUUAAGCUGGUAAGAGCCUGACCGAGUAGUGUAGUGGGUGACCA